GUGGAAUGCAAAAAUGGGGCUUCUUGACGUCGACGUCGUUAUCGAGAAAAUGCGAGAUCUUUGACGCCAUUUUUUCCUCAUUAUUUUUCCAUUAAUCUGGCAGUAAAACAGCGCUUAAUUAUAUAAUAAAUGACUUGUCAGCACAUUGGAUCCUGAUUCAUACAGAGUAAUCAACGGCAAAAAUAAUUUGCUACCGUUCAUCCUAUGACAGCAAGUGAAAUUAUCACGGGAAAAGAUUUUUACGAGGACAACUGAUUACGUCAUCUGACAUUGAUUGUUGAUAAAAUAUUGGUGAAUUGAUUCGAUGUUUUUCGGUGUUUUAAAGAAUAUUUUACACUGACAACGUCUGCUUUGACAAAACUUAUAUAUAACUGGAUUAUUCGGGUUAGGCACUUCACCAUGCACUCUUGAUGUAAAGUACUCCAACCUUUGGGAUUAUGCCCAACAAGUGCACUUUUCCCAUCAUUCUCAACCAGUUGGUCCAAUAUGUUUUAGGAUACCAAGAAAGUUCCAUGUGUUUGGUGUUUGUGUAGAGGGAUCAGGACUUCAUGGAAGUGUCAGUCUCAACAUGCUUGGUACUUUUAUAUCUGCAAAGUGAAAAACAAUGCAACAGGUUGCCUAAGUGUACUGUCCUGAAGUCAUCAAGAUAUGGGCACAAUAUCCUACAGCUUAUAGAUGAUCCAGAAAAUCCCUAGGAAGUCAUUUCUUAAGUUAAGCCCUCAAACUGUUAUCCAAGUACCACCAUUUUUGUGCAAGUGCAAUGGAGCCAAGUGUUAUAACAUGUAAAGAAUAUAUUAAAUCUGUGGAGGUAAAAAUGUAUUUACUGAAACAAUUGCCUCCCAAAGGUCUUUUACCUAAAGUACAGUAAUGAUGCAGCAAGACAUUAGUAUCUAUUUGAACAAAUUGGGCAGUUCUUCAAAUCUGACAUAGCUAAAAUACUGUGUGGCAAAAACCAGUUAUCCCGAAAACAGAAAUAAAGUUGGAUAUUGACAAUUAUGUGAAAAAGGUGGAAAGAGAAAGAGCAGUCUUUUACUCUUGAGUAUAAUUGGAGUUCCUAUAACAUAGUGGUCAUGUAUGGACUGUCGUUAUUUUCUUCAUUUCAAAUAUAGCUUAUGAUACAAGUAGAUGCUUCAUAAGAUAAGACUGCAAGUGUGUUGCAUAACUGGUGCUCUAAGGACUAAUGCUAUAUUAACAAGUGUGUGGAUCAUUGAUGCAUAGAUAUUAUUUAAUGGCUGCCUAUAUUAUUUUUGGCUGUCAGUUUACCAGUUACUAAUUUCCAUCAUUUUUACAAAAUGUUUAUUAGAUUAAGUUUAGUGUAAUACAACAUUUGUCAUUUUACUCUAAGUUAUAGAAUUCUAUUGAACCUAUGCAUGUUAUGAAUUGAUCAACUGUCAACUGAUCUUAAGCUUUGAUCUAGAUUGAAAAUGACUGUAUGUAACAUUAAGCUUCAGUACUUGUUGUCAAACUUUAAACAUUUUAUAGAACUUUGUAGAAUGUGAAAAAAACUUUAUCUAUAACAAUGAUAGGUCAGUUGAAUUUUUAUGUUGAUAUUAGUGUAGAAUCACAUUGUAAAUUAUCACCAAUCCUUAAAAUUGUUAAAAGAAGCAGCAAAAUCAAAGACUAUUCAAUGGUAGCUAGGCAACCAAUAUUCCCUUCAGUUGGGAAGGAUUUUAAGCAGGUGCAUCAUAAUAAAAAUACUUUAUAUGUUUGAUCACAUUGUAAAUAAUUGAAAAAUAAUCAUCACUAAGUUAUAAAAUAUUUAAAUAUAGAACCUUAAAUGUACCUGAAAAUAAAUGUUGUGAACAUGAUAUUAGAAGUAUCAUUUUUAAUUUAUAUUAUUAAGGAAUGGUGAGGCAGGCUGUUCUCUGAAUACCUUAUUAAGUUCAGUUACACAUUAAUUGUGGUAUUGUUUUCAUUUUUUUAUGAUAGUACAAAUUGCUAUUUUUAACUAAGUUGUAAUCUCCUGUAUGCCUGUAAAAAUUUGGAAAUUUAGAAAUUUAUGAAAAAAAUAAUAAUUAUUCAUUGGUUGCUAAGCAACCUAAUUAUAUGCAGAGACAGUUUUAAGUAAGGAACAUUUUUUUGUAGGAAUUAUCUUUAUGUCAUUUUAAUUAAAUAUAAUGCUAGUUAAUUCAAAGUCCUUACUUUGUUGUGAAACAAAGUAGUUAACACCAGAUGUUACUGACCAUACUUUUAUGAAAUUAUGUAUAUUAUCUAUAUAAAUUCAAAACCUAUAGUAAAGUUAGUUUAAGGAUACUUUGAUCCAAGAACUAUCAUUAAGAUUGUAUUUGCAGUUUUAAUUUUUAUAAUUUGUUUUUUUUGUAAUUAUGCUGCUUUGUUCAUAGUACUUUGAGAUCUUUUUUAAUCAAACUUAAAAUUUGUAAAAUUUAAAAGGAAAUUAUGGAAGAUAUUGUGGUUGCUUGGCAACACUGACUAAUUUUUACUUAUUGCUUAGGUAUUAUGUAAAUCAGUUAUACAGCAGAUAGAUAUAUUUAUGUAAUAUGGAAAGUAACAGUGAUUUGACCAAAUGCUUACUGGUUAUUGUAAAACAUACAGAGCAAUAUACAUGGAAAAAAUACUGAGUUGUGCUAAAAUUUGCAUGACUUACUAACACUAGUAAAGUGUACAGAACAUGGAUUGCAUGUUAUAUCUUCAAUGAAAAAUUAUUGAAAAGUAAUUAAUAGGCAUUGUUUAUAAUUUUAUUGAAAAUUUAUUUAUUUCUGCUGCUUUGUUAGCUGUAUUUUACCAAGAAAUUUGUAUAUUUACAAAAUAGAUUGCAAAAAAAUUAGAAUAUUCCAUGGUUGCUAGGUAACAGAAUAUAGCUUCCUUCAUGUUGUAUUUGUGUAAUUAUGUCCUUUAUUUAGUGUUACUACCUUUGGUGAUGUUAUACUUGAGUCAUCUUUCAUUUACUGUUGUAUAAAACUGUUGUCUGCUGUCAGAGUAAAUAUCUGAAUAAAGUUAAUAAAUGAAUGAUAAAUGGACACUGUGUUUAGUUCUUUUGAAGUUGUAUUAUGAUAUCUCUCAACAGUAAUAUGUCCUGUUAACACUGUAGAAAUGCAAUAGAACCAUUUGCAAGUGUGAAAGAAGAAUAUAUUUCGUAUUGAUACUUGCAAGUGUUAUAAAAUAAACCUAGCACAUAAUUUUUUACAUGAAAAAGGCCAGGAAGAACCCAGGAAUAGGUCCGUUGCUAGGCAACAUAAUGUAAAGGAUGCUUUAAUUAUGGUGGCUGUAUUCCAAAAAUAUUCUACAACAUUUAUUAACUUUAAUAACAUAAAACAAUUUUUUCACAAAAUUCAUUUUAGCUUCAAAAGUUGUUUUCCUCAUGCACCUUUAAACAUCACAAAGAUCAAAGAUUUUUAUGUGUAUUUUUAAUUACUUACUGGACACCAUACUCACAAAAAAUAUGUAUAUCUUUGUAAAUAAGAAAGACACGACCUUCAGAUUUUCAGAAAUUACUUCUGAUAUUUCAUAGAUUUAGAAAAUUAAAAAAAGUGAAAAUCAAAAAUUUGGUCAAGAAACCCCAUUUUUGCAUUCCAUGACACA
Long non-coding RNA from Ruditapes philippinarum (Manila clam), 3540 nucleotides. RefSeq lists it as uncharacterized. The record is from RefSeq and is a predicted model, not a curated record. The transcript is spliced from 3 exons. Lineage: Eukaryota; Metazoa; Mollusca; Bivalvia; Venerida; Veneridae.